This 468-nucleotide ribosomal RNA is filed under the name uncultured bacterium. Its description in RNAcentral is "partial 16S ribosomal RNA". It matches the Rfam family "Bacterial small subunit ribosomal RNA", at positions 28 to 507 of the family's 1533-position model. The record is from RNAcentral.
GACGAACGCUGGCGGCGUGCUUAACACAUUCAAGUCGAACGGAAAGGCCCUGCUUUUGUGGGGUGCUCGAGUGGCGAACGGUUUAGUAACACGUGAGUAACCUGCCCUUGACUUUGGUAUAACUUCAGGAAACUGGGGCUAAUACCUGAUAUGAUCUCCUGCUGCAUGGUGGGUGUUGUACAGUUUCGGCGGUUGGGGAUGGACUCGCGGCUUAUCAGCUUGUUUGUGGGGUAGUGGCUUACAAAGGCUUUGACGGGUAGCCGGCCUGAGAGGGUGACGGGACAAAUUGGGACUGAGAUACGGCCCAGAUGCCUACGGGAGGAAGAAGUGGCGAAGAUUGCAAAAUGGGCGGAAGCCGGAUGAAGGAACGCCGCGUGUGGGAUGACGGACUUCGGGUUGUAAAACGCUUUCGCCGGUGACGAAGCGUGAGUGACGGUAAUAGGUAAAGAAGCACCGGCUAACUACGUG